UUCUGCACCGCCCAACCGCCGCAAGUCUCCUACCUCUGCGUCCAUGCCACCGACUACGACCACACCGCCUUCGCCUACCCGCCUCACAUAGUCGCCACAGAGACUGAGGGCGGCCUCGUCCUUCUAUCCGUCGUAGUCGGUGGCCGCCCAUCCUAUGCCUCGCUUCGCCUCAAACAACACUACUUUGUCUACAACGCAAGCGUCCCUGAGCUCAAGCACAUCAAGCAGCCGGGCGACGACCACCCAGUCAACGAUCACUCCUUUGCCAUUGUGAGCAAUGGCAAACCUGACUGCACCUUCGUCCUUGCCGCACAAGCUGAUAGGUUUGGGCAUGGCAAUCCUUCUCACCUCUGCCUGUAUCAAUCUGGUACCAACUCCUGGAGCAAAGUGCUGGUGAAUGUCGAUUCAGUCCCCUACCAGCUCACCACAUACAAGGCAAUCACCAUAAAAGGAGAUUUAGGCCUAGUAGCCUGGGUCGAUCUCUCACAUAUGAUCACCUUCUGCAACGUGCUGGACAAAAGCCCCAUCGCUGCCUAAGCUGAACGUCCAUGAAGGUGUCACAGCUCAGCCAACCUUGUCGACUCUCGACAUUGGCCUGCCCAAGCUGAGUCUCCAAGAUGAUUGCAUUCUUUACCUCCUAGCCAAGAUUGACUAUCGUGACAAGGAACACACAGCAUGGGUGCUUGCUGUUGACAUGAAGAACAAGACUGUCCAGAGAGUGGCCGAGUUUAGCCCCAAAAGGUCUAUCGCCUUGUCCACCGGCUACGAUUCAAGUAGGAUCUCCAAAUAUCUCAAAGUUGGUCCAGAAACCCACCUAAUGUGGAUUGUUCAGAUAGUCCAUAUCAGCAGCACUACUUCAUUCAUCAAGAGAAGCUAGUAUAGAGCCAUUAUGCCUCCAUGAAGUUUGCACCUGGCAUCCUGGUAGCAACCAAGACUGGAAGUGACACCGACAUUGACCGAGAAGCAUUCAAGAUUAUAAAAGGAGUUGGGAUAUACAUUUUUAUUGAAGUUCUUGGCUGCUGAGAUGUGUAUCUUUCAGGAGGGUACCACUCAAUCCAUAUGUCCAUCCCUACAAUACUGCAGCAGAAAGACAAAAUUUAAAACUACAUCUCAUUGGCUACUCUCCAGAUUUGAGCGUCACCUUUUGUGCAUUCGCAUCAAAGAAGAGAAGAGUAGGAGCUAGCAUACCUGCCAAUGGGCUGAUGAUGGUGAAGUAGCCCGCAAUUACACACAACUCUGACACGGGAAGCCGGCUCCUCCGCGCUGCUGAGAUAUGGGAAACAAUGGACUAAUAAGUCUCAAUGGACGACUACUAUUUUUGAGCAGGUUUGCAGAGAGAAAGACGAACUUGGUUUGACAUGUGCUUUUCUUGAACAGUUCUACGCGGGGAAUGAAGGUACUCGAGUGGUUUGCGAUGCUUA
Molecule: non-coding RNA, 1421 nt
Organism: Aegilops tauschii subsp. strangulata
Lineage: Eukaryota; Viridiplantae; Streptophyta; Magnoliopsida; Poales; Poaceae
Source: RefSeq, a predicted model, not a curated record